This 964-nucleotide ribosomal RNA is filed under the name uncultured bacterium. RNAcentral's name for it is "bacterial SSU rRNA". It matches the Rfam family "Bacterial small subunit ribosomal RNA", at positions 521 to 1482 of the family's 1533-position model. The record is from RNAcentral.
UAAUACGUAGGUGGCGAGCGUUGUCCGGAAUUACUGGGCGUAAAGGGCGCGCAGGCGGGUUUUUAAGUCAGAUGUGUAAUCUACAGGCUCAACCUGUAGUUUGCAUCUGAUACUGGAAAUCUUGAGGGUAGGAGAGGACAGUGGAAUUCCUAGUGUAGCGGUGAAAUGCGUAGAUAUUAGGAGGAACACCAGUGGCGAAGGCGGCUGUCUGGCCUACAACUGACGCUGAGGCGCGAAAGCGUGGGUAGCGAACAGGAUUAGAUACCCUGGUAGUCCACGCCGUAAACGAUGGGUACUAGGUGUAGGAGGUAUCGACCCCUUCUGUGCCGGAGUUAACACAAUAAGUACCCCGCCUGGGGACUACGGCCGCAAGGCUAAAACUCAAAGGAAUUGGCGGGGGCCCGCACAAGCGGUGGAGCAUGUGGUUUAGUUCGACGCAACGCGAAGAACCUUACCAGGGCUUGACAUCCUCUGAUGUCCAUAGAGAUAUGGAGUUCGAUCUUCGGAUUGGCAGAGAGACAGGUGGUGCAUGGUUGUCGUCAGCUCGUGUCGUGAGAUGUUGGGUUAAGUCCCGCAACGAGCGCAACCCCUGUUGUUAGUUGCCAUCAUUAAGUUGGGCACUCUAACGAGACUGCCGGUGAUAAAUCGGAGGAAGGUGGGGACGACGUCAAAUCAUCAUGCCCCUUAUGUCCUGGGCUACACACGUACUACAAUGGCGAUUACAGUGGGAAGCAAUAUCGCGAGGUGGAGCAAAUCCCCAAAAAUCGCCCCAGUUCAGAUUGCAGGCUGCAACUCGCCUGCAUGAACGCGGAAUUGCUAGUAAUGGCAGGUCAGCAUACUGCCGUGAAUACGUUCCCGGGCCUUGUACACACCGCCCGUCACACCAUGAGAGCUGACAACACCCGAAGUCGGUAGUUUAACCGUAAGGAGGACGCCGCCGAAGGUGGGGUUGGUGAUUGGGGUG